AUACGGAGGGUGCGAGCGUUAAUCGGAAUUACUGGGCGUAAAGCGCGCGUAGGCGGCUAAGUAAGUCGGAUGUGAAAGCCCUGGGCUUAACCUGGGAAUUGCACUCGAUACUGCUUGGCUAGAGUAUGGUAGAGGGUAGUGGAAUUCCUGGUGUAGCGGUGAAAUGCGUAGAUAUCAGGAGGAACAUCAGUGGCGAAGGCGGCUACCUGGACCAAUACUGACGCUGAGGUGCGAAAGCGUGGGGAGCAAACAGGAUUAGAAACCCCGGUAGUCC
Molecule: ribosomal RNA, 274 nt
Filed under: uncultured bacterium
Lineage: Bacteria
Description: partial 16S ribosomal RNA
Rfam family: Bacterial small subunit ribosomal RNA
Source: RNAcentral